This 491-nucleotide ribosomal RNA is filed under the name uncultured bacterium. RNAcentral's name for it is "partial 16S ribosomal RNA". It matches the Rfam family "Bacterial small subunit ribosomal RNA", at positions 29 to 506 of the family's 1533-position model. The record is from RNAcentral.
AGUGAACGCUGGCGGUAGGCCUAACACAUGCAAGUCGAACGGCAGCACAGUAAGAUCUUGCUUUUACGGUUGGCGGGGGACGGACGGGUAAGAAAUACAUCGCAAUCUACUUUUUCUUGGGGGAUAACGUGGGAAAACUUCCGCUACUACCGAAUACAACCUACGGGUUAAAGCAGGGGAUCUUGGACCUUUGGCCGUUUCAUUGAGCCGAUGCCGGUUUGGCUUAUUGGCGGGGUAAGGUCCCCCCAAGGCAACGAUCCGUAGCUGGUCUGAGAGGAUGAUCAGCCACACUGGAACGGAGACACGGUCCAGACUCCUAGGGGAGGCAGCAGUGGGGAAUAUUGGACAAUGGGCGCAAGCCUGAUGCAGCCAUACCGCGUGGGUGAAGAAGGCUUUCGGGUUGUAAAGCCCUUUUGUAGGGAAAGAAAAGCAGGAGGGUAAUACCGCGCGGCUCUGACGGUACCAAAAGAAUAAGCACCGGCUAACUUCGU